This 352-nucleotide unclassified non-coding RNA is filed under the name soil metagenome. RNAcentral describes it as "partial contains 5.8S ribosomal RNA, internal transcribed spacer 2, and large subunit ribosomal RNA". The stretch from base 1 to 120 matches the Rfam family "5.8S ribosomal RNA", at positions 35 to 154 of the family's 154-position model. The record is from RNAcentral.
GAUGAAGAACGUAGCGAAAUGCGAUAAGUAAUGUGAAUUGCAGAAUUCAGUGAAUCAUCGAAUCUUUGAACGCGCAUUGCGCCGGCCAGUAGUCUGGCGGGCAUGCCUGUUCGAGCGUCAUUACAACCCUCAGGCCCCCGGGCCUGGCGUUGGGGAUCGGCGGAGCCCCCCGUGGGCACACGCCGUCCCCCAAAUGCAGUGGCGGUCCCGCCGCAGCUUCCAUCGCGUAGUAGCUAACACCUCGCGACUGGAGAGCGGCGCGGCCACGCCGUAAAACACCCAACUCUUCUGAAGUUGACCUCGAAUCAGGUAGGAAUACCCGCUGAACUUAAGCAUAUCAAUAAGCGGAGGA